AGCAGCCGCGGUAAUUCCAGCUCCAAUAGCGUAUAUUAAAGUUGUUGCAGUUAAAAGCUCGUAGUUGAAUUUCGGGGUCAGUAGGUUGGUCAUGCCACUGGUAUGUACUGGUCUCACUGAUUCCUCCUUCCUGAUGAACUGUAAUGCCAUUAAUUUGGUGUUGCAGGGAAUCUGGACUGUUACUUUGAAAAAUUAGAGUGUUUGUUUAAAGCAGGCAUUUUUGCUCGAAUACAUCAGCAUGGAAUAAUAGAAUAGGACGGCAUGGUUCUAUUUUGUUGGUUUCUAGGAUCACCGUAAUGAUUAAUAGGGAUAGUUGGGGGCAUUAGUAUUCAAUUGUCAGAGGUGAAAUUCUUGGAUUUAUUGAAGACUAACUACUGCGAAAGCAUUUGCCAAGGAUGUUUUCAUUAAUCAAGAACGAAAGUUAGGGGAUCUGAAGACGAUCAGAUAGCCGUCGUAGUCUUAACCAUAAACUAUGCCGACUAGGGAUCGGAUGAUGUU
RNAcentral lists this ribosomal RNA (498 nucleotides) under uncultured Glomeromycotina. RNAcentral describes it as "SSU rRNA". It matches the Rfam family "Eukaryotic small subunit ribosomal RNA", at positions 569 to 1064 of the family's 1831-position model. The record is from RNAcentral. Lineage: Eukaryota; Fungi; Glomeromycota.